Molecule: long non-coding RNA, 447 nt
Organism: Prunus avium (sweet cherry)
Lineage: Eukaryota; Viridiplantae; Streptophyta; Magnoliopsida; Rosales; Rosaceae
Source: RefSeq, a predicted model, not a curated record
AGAACUCCGGUUUCUGGCGGAGGUAGCGCCGUUCGGGUCGGUGAUAGGGAAGGGCGGUAAGGUGGUGGAGAAGAUUAGGAAAGAGACUGAUUGUAAAAUUAGGGUUUUGAUUGAGAAAUUGCCGGCUUGUGCAGUUUCUAUGGACGAGAUGGUCGAGGUGGUCAUUGAUUGGGCCGGGAGAUACCUUCAUCAGAUGGAAAGGCCAUUAGAUGUGCUAUUCAAACAGACGCUGGUGAAUAAAGGGCAACGGAGUUGAUCCCCUGCAGACGGUGGCAGGCCAGUGACGGGCGGCAGCAGGUGGCCGGCGGCAGGAGUUUGGCGGCGAGAUUCCAGCGAUGGUGGUUGGAUAGGUAUGGACAUGUGGCAUAGUAUGCUUGCCUUAAAAGGAGUGGCAUUGUGUAUAAUUUUGAUAUUUUUUAAUGAUAUUUUUGUAAAUUAGGUACCACA